This is a non-coding RNA of Ictidomys tridecemlineatus (thirteen-lined ground squirrel), 417 nucleotides long. NCBI's taxonomy places the organism in Eukaryota, Metazoa, Chordata, Mammalia, Rodentia, Sciuridae. The record is from RefSeq and is a predicted model, not a curated record.
AUUUCUCACCCACGGUCACAUUUGUCCCCACACAGGCAUUGCAGGUCACGUCAUUCCCAUCCUACAGACAAGGACAUUCACAGGAAAACAUAGCAACUUGCUCCAAGUCAAGCAGCUGGUGAACUGAUGGUGCUCGGGACCCCACCUACCUCAGGUCUUCUGGCAAAGCCAUCCUGCCACCUUUUGGAGCUCACCUUGUGUAAAACCUUCAUUUGGAGGAUCGCAACUUCCCUGAGAGACAUCAGCUCAUGGCAACCUUCUGAUUACCUUGUUACAGGGUGAGACAUAUGAAAAGGAAGCUGGUGUGAACCCCUCUCCUUUCUAUGGGUUCUAAGGCUCUGGUCACCCUCCCUAUCUUACAUGAUGGCAUGAUGGACUCCAACCAAAUAUACCCAGCCCUAGAGGAGACUCUCAUGA